RNAcentral lists this ribosomal RNA (494 nucleotides) under uncultured bacterium. Its description in RNAcentral is "partial 16S ribosomal RNA". It matches the Rfam family "Bacterial small subunit ribosomal RNA", at positions 28 to 507 of the family's 1533-position model. The record is from RNAcentral.
GACGAACGCUGGCGGCGUGCUUAACACAUGCAAGUCGAACGGUGAAGCGCCUUCCUUUUUGGUGGGUGUGGAUGAGUGGCGAACGGGUGAGUAACACGUGAGUAACCUGCCCCCUUCUUCUGGAUAACCGCAUGAAAGUGUGGCUAAUACGGGAUAUUCUGCGUCUGUCGCAUGAUGGGUCUGGGAAAGAUAUUGUUUCGGUGGGGGAUGGGCUCGCGGCCUAUCAGCUUGUUGGUGGGGUGAUGGCCUACCAAGGCGGUGACGGGUAGCCGGCCUGAGAGGGUGGACGGUCACACUGGGACUGAGACACGGCCCAGACUCCUACGGGAGGCAGCAGUGGGGAAUAUUGCACAAUGGGCGCAAGCCUGAUGCAGCGACGCCGCGUGAGGGAUGGAGGCCUUCGGGUUGUGAACCUCUUUCGCCAGUGAAGCAGGCCUGCCUCGUUUGUGGGUGGGUUGACGGUAGCUGGAUAAGAAGCGCCGGCUAACUACGUG